RNAcentral lists this ribosomal RNA (1368 nucleotides) under Triticum aestivum (bread wheat). RNAcentral's name for it is "partial small subunit ribosomal RNA". The record is from RNAcentral. Lineage: Eukaryota; Viridiplantae; Streptophyta; Magnoliopsida; Poales; Poaceae.
AUGGAGCUUGACACACGCGCUCUCGCCCUCCUCCCGCUGGUGCUUGCCUCGCUGGCGAUGUUCCUCCAGCCUGCCGUUGCAACCCAUGGCAUGCCACGCCCCAGCGGAGGCUUCAGCCUGCGCCUGGUGCCCAGCGCCGGCUGGAACAGCACCAUGCACGUCGACAACGGCGGCUUCCUGCACCUCAACGAGCAGGCAGCCACCACUGCGCUUCGGCCGCAUGUCCACGGGCCGAGAGGGCUGACAUACAGCGUGGCCACCACCGUCGGGACGGGCCGCGGCCGCCGCACCUACGACCUGGUGCUGGACACGGUCAGCAGCCUGACAUGGAUGCAGUGCUUGCCGAUUGCGCAUCCGUUCCCACAGAUGCCGCCGCCCUUCAACCCGGAGAUCUCGACGUCGUUCAGACGCGUCCCGCACGGGAGCGACCUGUGUCAUAAGCCAUCCAGGGGCAACGAUUGCGAGUUCCGGGCCACCCGCCUCGACGGCGCGCACGCGAGCGGUGUGCUCGGCACCGAGACCUUCGCCUUCGCGGACGAUGGCGGCCGCGCCGCAGCCGCGGAGGUUGGUGGCGUCGUCUUUGGCUGCGCGCACACCGCCACAGGGUUCCACAGCCAUGGAGUACUAGCCGGCGUCCUCGGCCUGGGGAAACUGAUGCCGUCUCUCAUCUGGACUCGGCUCCGCCAGCACCGGCAGGACGGCCGCUUCUCCUACUGCCUCUUCGGUCCCACGCGUCCGGAGAGGCACGGCUUCCUCCGGUUCGGCGCCGAUGUCCCGGCCACCGGCCACAUGAAGAGCACCAACAUCCUCUACAUGCGCUGGACCAGCCCGGAUUUCAGCGCCUACUUCGUCAAACUCCUCGGAGUCAGCGUCGCCGGCAAGCGCCUGGCCGGGCCACCCGGACGCCGCAUGAGCGAAUUAUUCCAGCGCCACAAGUCGGGCGGUAGGUGGUACGGCGGGUGCCUGAUCGAUCCCGGGACGGGCACGACGACGAUGACGCAGCUCGCGUACAACGUCCUGGAGCACGCCGUGGAGGAGCACGUCAAGAGACUGGGGAUGCCGCUUGUGAGGCGCCACGGGUAUCGCCUUUGCUUCAGCGGCGCGACUCAGGCCGCCAUCCCGCACCUGCCGACGAUGACGCUGCACUUCGAGGAGGGCGGGGAGGACGACGGUGACCUCGUGAUAAGGCCGCAACAACUCUUCGUCUUCGUUCAGCACGACAUCUGCCUCGCCGUGGUGCCGAGCGAGCACAUUACCAUCAUCGGCGCGAUGCAGCAGGUGGACACGCGCUUCGUCUAUGACAUCACAGCCGGGAAGAUCCACUUCGCCCCCGAGAGAUGCAGCGACGACACAGGCGGUCCCAACUGA